UCCUUUUUCUUUCUUUUCAACGUCAUUUUUUCUUCCUUGUUCAUUUCUGCAACCGUGGCUUCACCUUCAAAGGAAAAACCAUACAUCAAGUCCUACCAUAUUUCUUUCAUGCUCCUUUGUUUUCUCUUUCCUCCUCAUGAGUUGUCUUCCCUUCUUCCUCCCCCAUAACCGAACUUAAAAAGAGCUUGGUGGUUUGGCUUAGAAAUUUCAAGAUAAGUAAUCAGUUCUAGUGCAUUGUUUAGUACCUCGAGACUGGCUACAACCUAGGAAGUUAUGUAGGUGAAGAAGAUUUGUCGCGAUAGUGUGCCGGAUGAGGAAAUGGGUGACCGACAAGUAGAAUUUGCUAGAUACGUAUCCGAGUCAAUAGUGAUGAAGUAUCUCGUUAUUGUAUGUGAUCGACUUAGCGUGCAAUCAUAUGUGCUUAUGGUCCACUGCGGAUAGGUAAAGGCAUCUUAUAGCACUUUAUUCCGAGUCACUCCGUUGCUAGAGGUCGAGUCAUUCAUAGCUUGAAGUAUGUAGUUAGAUACUACAGACUUUGAUGUAAUCUUACAAUUAUGGUGAAUAAAGGAUAAGUUGGUUUAUUAUGAUUUAUGUACAAUUCUUAUUAAAAAGAGGUAUAUGGUUCAAGAAAUUUCAUGGAUUGAUGACAUAAUGUCUAAAGUUUCAAAUACGACUUGUUUAGGAUUUGGCAGGUUCACUCGCAAGUCUUGGACGCUAGUAACAAUCGAGGUUAAGCGAGGACUAAAGGAUCAAUUUUUUGAAGAUCAACCAAAGAAAAGGCAACCUUGGUACUUGGGUAGUGGUUACUCGAGACACAAGAUCGGUAAUGAAAACUUAUUUGCUAAGCUUGAUAGGAAGAAUUGUGGUAGUGUUUCCUUUGGUGAUGACUUCAAGGAUAUUAUCUAAGGAAUCGAAACCACAGAUA
Non-coding RNA from Theobroma umbraticum, 925 nucleotides. The record is from RefSeq and is a predicted model, not a curated record. NCBI's taxonomy places the organism in Eukaryota, Viridiplantae, Streptophyta, Magnoliopsida, Malvales, Malvaceae.